AGUGAACGCUGGCGGUAGGCCUAACACAUGCCAGUCGAACGGCAGCACAGUAAGAGCUUGCUCUUACGGGUGGCGAGUGGCGGACGGGUGAGGAAUACAUCGGAAUCUACUUUUUCGUGGGGGAUAACGUAGGGAAACUUACGCUAAUACCGCAUACGACCUACGGGUGAAAGCAGGGGAUCUUCGGACCUUGCGCGAUUGAAUGAGCCGAUGUCGGAUUAGCUAGUUGGCGGGGUAAAGGCCCACCAAGGCGACGAUCCGUAGCUGGUCUGAGAGGAUGGUGAGCGACACUGGAACUGGGACACGGACCAGACUCCUACGGGAGGGCGCAGUGGGGAAUAUUGGACAAUAGGCGCAAGCCUGGUCCAGCCAUACCGCGUGGGUUAAGAAAGCCUUCGGGUUGUAAAGCCCUUUUGUUGGGUAAGAAAAGCAGCAGCUUAAUACCCCGCUGUUCUGACGGUACCCAAUGAAUAAGCACCGGCUAACUUCGUG
RNAcentral lists this ribosomal RNA (492 nucleotides) under uncultured bacterium. RNAcentral describes it as "partial 16S ribosomal RNA". It matches the Rfam family "Bacterial small subunit ribosomal RNA", at positions 29 to 507 of the family's 1533-position model. The record is from RNAcentral.